AUUGAACGCUGGCGGCAGGCCUAACACAUGCAAGUCGAGCGGAUGAAGGGAGCUUGCUCCUGGAUUCAGCGGCGGACGGGUGAGUAAUGCCUAGGAAUCUGCCUGGUAGUGGGGGAUAACGUCCGGAAACGGGCGCUAAUACCGCAUACGUCCUGAGGGAGAAAGUGGGGGAUCUUCGGACCUCACGCUAUCAGAUGAGCCUAGGUCGGAUUAGCUAGUUGGUGGGGUAAAGGCCUACCAAGGCGACGAUCCGUAACUGGUCUGAGAGGAUGAUCAGUCACAACGGGACUGCGGCACGGGCCCAAACUCCAAGGGGGGGCACGAUUGGGAAAUUUUGGCAAGUGGGGGAAGCCUUGUCCCACCAAGGCGCCGUGGGUAAAGAAGUUCUCCGAUUGUAAAGCACUUUAAGAUGGGAGGAAGGGCAGUAAGUUAAUACCUUGCUGUUUUGACGUUACCAACAGAAUAAGCACCGGCUAACUUCGUG
Molecule: ribosomal RNA, 484 nt
Filed under: uncultured bacterium
Lineage: Bacteria
Description: partial 16S ribosomal RNA
Rfam family: Bacterial small subunit ribosomal RNA
Source: RNAcentral